Molecule: long non-coding RNA, 1162 nt
Organism: Rosa rugosa (rugosa rose)
Lineage: Eukaryota; Viridiplantae; Streptophyta; Magnoliopsida; Rosales; Rosaceae
Exons: 3
Source: RefSeq, a predicted model, not a curated record
CUCUCUGUUAAUCUCAUUGCAUUAUCUUCUUCACUUUCCUCAGGUUGAACCAGAUGUUGGAGAUAAAAUUCCUCAUAGAAAAAAAUUCACGGUCUUUUUCACUCUCACUCUCUCGAGAUCUCAAACAAUUUUGAUCGGUUUCUUCCGCCAUGAUCCGCUAAAACAUGUCGCCGUCGGCGAGAAUGGAAGGAAUCUAAGGUCUCCUGCGACGAUGCCUUCGCCGUGAUCUGCAACAAGUACGACCGAUACGGCAUCGACAAGUAGAAGGACUCUAAUGUCUCCGGCGACGAUGCCUUCGCUCGCCUCUACUCUGCCAUCGAGUUCGACAUUGAAGCUGCUCUUCAGAAAGCGGAGCUUGCUUCAAAAGAGAAAAGUAGGGCAUUUGCAGUUGCUCUGAAUGCCGUGAUUCGCCGGACCAAGGCUCGAUUGCUUAAAGAGGUUCCCAAGUUGCAGAGAUUGGCUGUAAAGAAGGUUAAAGGGCUUUCAUCUGAAAAGUUUGUUGCUCGUAAUGAGUUGGUUGUAAGGCUUGUUUACAGAAAAAGACAUAACUGGAAGAAACCACAGUUUUGCUUGGGAAAAAAAAAAGCCUAUGUAGAAUUGAAUUGAUUGACAACAGGUCAAUCAGUUUCCCCUCUUAAAAAUGAUGCCUCUUGGAAACAAUCUUGUAAAUUGAAAUGUAAAGGCCGUCUUCAAUGGAUUUUUGUGUCAUUCUUUACUUCCCAUUCAGUUUUGAGCAUUUCUAUGUGCUGAGAUUAAGGUUGGGGUAGUUUAGUUGGAAUGAAGUUGGAAGCAAGCAGAUUUUUGAGCUUGUGUGUUUGGUCUAUGAGGUUUUUGCCUUGUUGGGUUUUGCGGUUGUUCUUGAAUUUUGUGCUGCUGAAGUUGUGUGUUUUUUUUUGUUGCAGUGAGUAUCAUUUCCCUUCAUAUUGUUGAAUAAGGGACCUCACUUAUUCUGAGCAAAAAUUAUUGAACCAGGAAGGAAUGAAGAAUUAAAACUGGACUCCUGUAAUUAAUAAUGGAAGAUGUUUGAACCAUCUAUAUGGUGUAAAAUCUUGUAAAUAUUGUAGAAAAUGCUUGAAGGUAUAAGUAGACCCUUGUUCAUCAACCCAAUGGGUUGUGGAUGGCUGGUUGGUGGGAGCGACCUCUCUGUUUGUUUAUGUUUAUU